UACAAAUGUAAGGGGUUUCCCAAGUCACAUUGCAGGGUUUGUCCAGUAGGAGACUACAUGGGGGACUGAGUUUUACAGACAGAAUACCCAUCAUACACUGCUGUACCAAGGAGAUAAUUAACCCAGAAUGCAUUGCUAAUGGGAUUAUCUCUUGGUACAGAGAAAUACAGUUUUUACAUUAAAAUCCAUAACCGACAUAAUUUUCCUGCUAGGCAGCUACUAAACCCUUUAUUACAUAACAGGGACCUGGGCGCACAGUUAAGGGAACUUGCGCUCAGAUCCCAGCACAAAUAACCAAACGCAGUUCAUUUUCCUGUAUCAAGAACACUUAG
Molecule: non-coding RNA, 332 nt
Organism: Pelobates cultripes (western spadefoot toad)
Lineage: Eukaryota; Metazoa; Chordata; Amphibia; Anura; Pelobatidae
Source: the annotation of a GenBank genome assembly